CCCUUAGAUGUUCUGGGCCGCACGCGCGCUACACUGGUGCAUUCAACGAGUCUAAAACCUGCUCUGAUAGGGGUGGGUAAUCUUUUGAAUGUGCAUCGUGAUUGGGAUAGAUGAUUGCAAUUUUUCAUCUUCAACGAGGAAUACCUAGUAAACGCAAGUCAUCAGCUUGCAUUGAUUACGUCCCUGCCCUUUGUACACACCGCCCGUCGCUCCUACCGAUUGAAUGAUCCGAUGAAUAUCAUGGAUUGAGGAUGCAAGCAGGUUCGCCUGUCUUCAUCUUCGAGAAGUGAAGUAAAUCUUAUCAUUUAGAGGAAGGAGAAGUCGUAACA
RNAcentral lists this ribosomal RNA (329 nucleotides) under uncultured eukaryote. Its description in RNAcentral is "partial 18S ribosomal RNA". It matches the Rfam family "Eukaryotic small subunit ribosomal RNA", at positions 1470 to 1796 of the family's 1831-position model. The record is from RNAcentral.